CAACAGGGAUUGCCCUAGUAACGGCGAGUGAAGCGGCAACAGCUCAAAUUUGAAAUCUGGCUCUUUCAGAGUCCGAGUUGUAAUUUGCAGAGGGCGCUUUGGCUUUGGCAGCGGUCCAAGUUCCUUGGAACAGGACGUCACAGAGGGUGAGAAUCCCGUACGUGGUCGCUAGCUAUUGCCGUGUAAAGCCCCUUCGACGAGUCGAGUUGUUUGGGAAUGCAGCUCUAAAUGGGAGGUAAAUUUCUUCUAAAGCUAAAUAUUGGCCAGAGACCGAUAGCGCACAAGUAGAGUGAUCGAAAGAUGAAAAGCACUUUGGAAAGAGAGUCAAACAGCACGUGAAAUUGUUGAAAGGGAAGCGCUUGCAGCCAGACUUGCUUGCAGUUGCUCAUCCGGGCUUUUGCCCGGUGCACUCUUCUGCAGGCAGGCCAGCAUCAGUUUGGGCGGUGGGAUAAAGGUCUCUGUCACGUACCUCUCUUCGGGGAGGCCUUAUAGGGGAGACGACAUACCACCAGCCUGGACUGAGGUCCGCGCAUCUGCUAGGAUGCUGGCGUAAUGGCUGUAAGCGGCCCGUCUUGAAACACGGACCAAGGAGUCUAACAUCUAUGCGAGUGUUUGGGUGUCAAGCCCGAGCGCGUAAUGAAAGUGAACGGAGGUGGGAACCCGCAAGGGCGCACCAUCGACCGAUCCUGAAGUUUACGGAAGGAUUUGAGUAAGAGCAUGGCUGUUGGGACCCGAAAGAUGGUGAACUAUGCUUGAAUAGGGUGAAGCCAGAGGAAACUCUGGUGGAGGCUCGCAGCGGUUCUGACGUGCAAAUCGAUCGUCAAAUUUGGGCAUAGGGGCGAAAGACUAAUCGAACUAUCUAGUAGCUGGUUCUGC
The sequence is a ribosomal RNA, 876 nucleotides long. It matches the Rfam family "Eukaryotic large subunit ribosomal RNA", at positions 66 to 960 of the family's 3401-position model.